Molecule: non-coding RNA, 90 nt
Organism: Colletotrichum somersetense
Lineage: Eukaryota; Fungi; Ascomycota; Sordariomycetes; Glomerellales; Glomerellaceae
Source: the annotation of a GenBank genome assembly
GGCCGGUUGGCCCAAUGGCAAGGCGUCUGACUACGAUUGAAAUACAUCGCUGCAAUCAGGAGAUUCUGGGUUCGACCCCCAGGCUGGUCA